GGGGAAUAUUGCACAAUGGGCGCAAGCCUGAUGCAGCCAUGCCGCGUGUAUGAAGAAGGCCUUCGGGUUGUAAAGUACUUUCAGCGGGGAGGAAGGUGUUGUGGUUAAUAACCGCAGCAAUUGACGUUACCCGCAGAAGAAGCACCGGCUAACUCCGUGCCAGCAGCCGCGGUAAUACGGAGGGUGCAAGCGUUAAUCGGAAUUACUGGGCGUAAAGCGCACGCAGGCGGUCUGUCAAGUCGGAUGUGAAAUCCCCGGGCUCAACCUGGGAACUGCAUUCGAAACUGGCAGGCUAGAGUCUUGUAGAGGGGGGUAGAAUUCCAGGUGUAGCGGUGAAAUGCGUAGAGAUCUGGAGGAAUACCGGUGGCGAAGGCGGCCCCCUGGACAAAGACUGACGCUCAGGUGCGAAAGCGUGGGGAGCAAACAGG
Molecule: ribosomal RNA, 428 nt
Filed under: uncultured bacterium
Lineage: Bacteria
Description: bacterial SSU rRNA
Rfam family: Bacterial small subunit ribosomal RNA
Source: RNAcentral